GUGUCAGCAGCCGCGGUAAUACGGAGGAUCCAAGCGUUAUCCGGAAUCAUUGGGUUUAAAGGGUCCGUAGGCGGCCCAGUAAGUCAGUGGUGAAAUCUCCCGGCUCAACCGGGAAAUUGCCAUUGAUACUGCUGGGCUUGAAUUACUAGGAAGUAACUAGAAUAUGUAGUGUAGCGGUGAAAUGCUUAGAUAUUACAUGGAAUACCGAUUGCGAAGGCAGGUUACUACUAGUGGAUUGACGCUGAUGGACGAAAGCGUGGGUAGCGAACAGGAUUAGAAACCCGGGUAGUCC
RNAcentral lists this ribosomal RNA (292 nucleotides) under uncultured bacterium. RNAcentral describes it as "partial 16S ribosomal RNA". It matches the Rfam family "Bacterial small subunit ribosomal RNA", at positions 505 to 796 of the family's 1533-position model. The record is from RNAcentral.